Maniola jurtina (meadow brown) is the source of this 234-nucleotide long non-coding RNA. RefSeq lists it as uncharacterized. NCBI's taxonomy places the organism in Eukaryota, Metazoa, Arthropoda, Insecta, Lepidoptera, Nymphalidae. The record is from RefSeq and is a predicted model, not a curated record. The transcript is spliced from 3 exons.
AGCAAAGUCAAAGUGCGGUCUAUAGAUUUCAACCUUACCGUACUCGGCAGGAAAUAUUGUACAUCGAGCUUUAGAAAGAGACUUCAGCUUCGUAUAGCGUUGUCUCUGUCACUCAUACCUGUGUGACGUUUUGCCGGUCUGAACGACAGAGACAUCGCUCUACGAAACCGUUAUCGCUUUCUAAAAGUCGAUGAACAAUAUUUUCUACCGGGUAGUUUUACUGUACAUUGUAUC